GACGAACGCUGGCGGCGUGCUUAACACAUGCAAGUCGAGCGGUAAGGCCCUUUCGGGGGUACGACGAGCGGCGAACGGGUGAGUAACACGUGGGUGACCUGCCCUCCAGCUCUGGGAGUAAGCCUGGGAAACGUGGGUCGUAAUACCGGAUAUGACUCCAUGACGCAUGUUGUGGGGUGGAAAGCCUUGUGCGGCUGAGGAUGGGCCCGCGGCCUAUCAGCUUGUUGGUGGGGUGAUGGCCUACCAAGGCGACGACGGGUAGCCGGCCUGAGAGGGCGACCGGCCACACUGGGACUGAGACACGGCCCAGACUCCUACGGGAGGCAGCAGUGGGGAAUCUUGCGCAAUGGGCGAAAGCCUGACGCAGCGACGCCGCGUGAGGGAUGACGGCCUGUGU
Molecule: ribosomal RNA, 397 nt
Filed under: uncultured bacterium
Lineage: Bacteria
Description: bacterial SSU rRNA
Rfam family: Bacterial small subunit ribosomal RNA
Source: RNAcentral